AGAAUUAAGAGUUACUCAGAAAAAAGCUUCUAACUUUAUUUCUAAGCAGUGAAAUCUCUGUUUUUAUUCUU
RNAcentral lists this transfer RNA (71 nucleotides) under Ips grandicollis. RNAcentral describes it as "tRNA-Ser". The record is from RNAcentral. Lineage: Eukaryota; Metazoa; Arthropoda; Insecta; Coleoptera; Curculionidae.